RNAcentral lists this ribosomal RNA (2052 nucleotides) under Triticum aestivum (bread wheat). RNAcentral describes it as "partial small subunit ribosomal RNA". Lineage: Eukaryota; Viridiplantae; Streptophyta; Magnoliopsida; Poales; Poaceae. The record is from RNAcentral.
AUGCCACAGUCCGUCCUGGUCGAUCGCGCGACCAGCGAGUCGCUCAUCGGGCCCGACUGGUCCCUCAACCUCGAGAUCUGCGACAUCCUCAACCACGACCCCUCGCAAGCUAAAGAUGUAGUCAAGUCUAUCAAGAAGCGGAUUGGACACAAGAAUUCAAAGAUCCAGCUCCUCGCACUAACACUGCUGGAGACGCUGAUUAAAAAUUGUGGAGAUUUUGUUCACAUGCAUGUUGCUGAGAGAGAUAUACUCCAUGAAAUGGUGAAGAUUGUUAAGAAAAAGCCUGAUUAUCAUGUAAAAGAGAAGAUACUCAUUUUGAUUGACACCUGGCAAGAAGCUUUUGGUGGUGCUCGUGCAAGAUAUCCACAAUAUUAUGCGGCAUAUCAAGAACUGCUGCGUGCUGGAGCCGUAUUUCCUCAAAGGUCAGAGAGUUCUGUGCCAAUCUAUACUCCACCACAAACUCAACCUCUACAGAACUACCCUCCUCCUGCUUUACGUAAUACUGAUUAUCGGCAAGAGGCACCCGAAUCAUCUUCAGUGCCAGAAGUAUCUACACUAAGUGCGACAGAAAUUCAGAAUGCAAGUGGCGUCAUGGAUGUUCUCUCAGAGAUGUUAAAUGCUAUUGAUCCUGGUAACAGAGAGGGUCUAAGGCAGGAGGUCAUUGUGGACCUUGUGGACCAAUGUCGUUCUUACAAGCAGAGAGUGGUUCAGCUCGUCAACACGACCUCCGAUGAAGAGCUGCUAAGCCAGGGCCUUUCAUUGAAUGAUGAUUUGCAGCGUGUUCUAGCAAAACAUGAUGCAAUUGCUGCAGGCAUAGCUGUUCGGGUAGAAAAGCCAAAACCACCACAGGCCCCUGCAAAUAGUUCCCCACCAGCAAAGCCAGAGGGGCCAAAAGAGCCAACUCAAAGGUUGUCUUCUGAAGCUGCUGGUAAGGUUUCUCCAUUUGAGCAAUUAGCACUUCCUGCUCCUCCAUCAUCCAGCACCUCAAAGCCUCCUGGAGAAGCAUCUGUUGGCCCUAGUAUUGACCUACUCAGUGGAGAUGAUUAUUUCAAGCCAGAACCUGUGAAUUCCCAAGCACUUGUUCCUGUUGGCAAUUCCCCUGCAGCUUCUGCUUCAGGCCACAAUACCUUAGAUCUUGUAGACAUGUUUUCGCAAAGCGAUGCUAGCAAUAACAAUCACAACCCUGUUAUAUCGUCCCCAAUAUUGAACUCAAACCCUAAUCUCUCGGCACCACAAGCAUAUCCUGCUCCACAGCAUCCUGUUCCACCACAGCAGUCUUCAUUUUCCAAUGGGUUGACCUCCAAUACGAUCCCAACUUAUGGUCAAGGUCCUGACCUAAACUCAGCAAGUUCGUGGAAUGGGCAGCUUGCUCAAGGAAUGAAUCAACCACAGCAGGCACCAAAUUAUGGUCAAGAUGAUCAAAGCAGCGACCUACCACCACCACCCUGGGAAACUCAGCCUGCAGAAAGCGAUCAGUUCCAAGCUGGCCAACCUGACAACAGGUUGGCAAUGCCACCAGGACAAUUCGGAGGCAUUCCACCCCAACCUGUUCAAGUUGGUCAGCCUGGGCAGGUUUCACUGUCGCAACCAUUGCUGACUGGACAACCAGGCGGGAUGCAGUUUCCACCAGGAUAUGUGGAGCAGCCUGGGGCUCAACAUCCGCAAUCAAUGCCAAACACGCAAUAUGGGGGCAUGUAUCCUUCAAUGCAAGGCAACCAAGCAGGCGGCAUGUAUCCCCAACAGAUGGCAGGAGAUAUCUACCAGCAACAGAUGUAUGGUGGGCAGAUGGCGGCCGGCUAUGGCUAUGGUCAGCAGCCUGGAGGCUACUAUGUCCCAAAUGCUGCAUACGGGUAUCCCAGUGCAAACGACCUUUCUCAGAGAAUGAACGGACUUGCCAUGCAAAACAACGGCUUAUAUGGCACACCUGCGUCUUCUUCCCUUCAGCAGGCUAAUAGGCCAGCAAGACCCGAAGAUUCACUCUUUGGUGAUCUGGUUAGCAUUGCCAAAACAAAGCCUAGCAAAACUGCAGCUAAUAAGGCCGGUGGCUUGUAA